UACGUAGGGGGCGAGCGUUGUCCGGAAUCAUUGGGCGUAAAGAGCGCGUAGGCGGCCCGACAAGUCCGCUGUGAAAGUCAGGGGCUCAACCCUUGGAUGCCGGUGGAUACUGUCGGGCUAGAGUCCGGAAGAGGCGAGUGGAAUUCCUGGUGUAGCGGUGGAAUGCGUAGAGAUCGGGAAGAACACCAGUGGCGAAGGCGGUGCUCUGGGCCGGAACUGACGCUGAGGAGCGAAAGCGUGGGGAGCAAACAGG
RNAcentral lists this ribosomal RNA (253 nucleotides) under uncultured bacterium. Its description in RNAcentral is "partial 16S ribosomal RNA". It matches the Rfam family "Bacterial small subunit ribosomal RNA", at positions 524 to 776 of the family's 1533-position model. The record is from RNAcentral.